RNAcentral lists this unclassified non-coding RNA (1303 nucleotides) under Hevea brasiliensis (rubber tree). Lineage: Eukaryota; Viridiplantae; Streptophyta; Magnoliopsida; Malpighiales; Euphorbiaceae. The record is from RNAcentral.
CUCCUUUUUUUUUUUUUUGUGAAAGACUAAUUGAGAAAUAAAAUGAGACAUGACAAAAUCAAAUCCAAAAACAAUUGAAACCUGCAUGAACAACAGAGGCAGCACAACUAUAUCAUAUAGAUUUUCAGCAACGACAUGAUCAUGUAAACUAAAGCAUGCCAAUCUAGGUGUCUUCACUCAUUGAACACACAAAUUUAAAAAUAGAAAGAGAACAGGGGCAGCAUAGUUAACAUAAUAAUAACUCAGGCAUAAUCAGAAGAAACUAUAUAGCUAACCACACCAGAGCAAAAAUACAUGCGAAGGACAGCACAGCAGACCAUGCAAAUCUCUAAUUGAUGACAGGGGCCAGCAACAAAAGGAAAAGCAAUAACUGAAGCACCCAAAAAAUAGCAAGAGCAGCAGAAUCAAAGGGAUACCCCAGAGAAGCUCAAGACUAAAGUACUACAAAAAAAAUAAAUAAAUAACAACUAAAAUACCAAUAAACCCAAAGCGAAAAAAGGACCAAAAAUAGGAACAAACGGAAAAUAAUAUGACCCAAAAUUUAAAGCUAAUACCAAGACAUAAAAGAAAGAAAGCAUGAACUCCAAAAGCAAAUAACCUCUGAAAGCACUUGGUUCUUGCAGCAGCAAAAGCAUAUUAGAUCACUUGUCAUGUCUCCUAAAACCAUAGUCAACAAAAUAUGCUUCCUGUACGGGCAGCAUUAUUUCAAGAAGCCCAAAUUUCCAUAAUAACCUCAAAGAAGCUUCAGCAGAACCACAUGCUAGCAUGUAGUUCAUUUCCAUCAGAAGCCUUCCCUUGGAUAUUUUGGUGCUGGAGGUAAGUUAGCUAGGAUACAUUCAAAGGUAAAUUGAAUGUAUGAAUAACUUGAGGGGAGUAAGAAUGAGCUGCUCGAAUUCCUUAUCAAGCCUCAAAAUCGAGCGAGCAAAAAAUUUUUAGCAAAAUGAGCUGUUUUUUUUGAAAAGCAGAUCCUAAAUGGGCAGCGAGGAUAACCUUUGAACAAAAUUCAAUCAGCAAACAAAAUACACUAAAUCACAAUACAACAGAAGGCAAGAACAGCACCCAAAAAACAUAAACAAUAUGAGAAAUUAUUAAAUCAAUUAAUGCAAAAUCAAGACACAAUUAAAUCAAAUAAAGCAAUAUCACAAACAUGCAAUGUAAACCAACAUAAUAAGAAGGGAACAAAAAAUUUAAAUUUGAAAUGUGAAUAAAAUUACCAAGAGUUGAGCUAACAGAACACAAACCCAUUCUAAACAAAACAAAAAAUCACAUGAUAAUAAACAUAUAUGUAUAUAUAUAUAUAUAU